ACGCUGGCGGCGUGCCUAAGUACAUGCAAGUCGAACGGUCUUUCUAUGGAAGCUUGCUUCCACUGAGAAGAUAGUGGCGGACGGGUGAGUAACACGUGGGUAACCUGCCCAUAAGAGGGGGAUAACAUCCGGAAACGGGUGCUAAUACCGCAUAGUUUUCUUGAUCGCAUGAUUGAGAAAGGAAAGACGGCCUUUGUGCUGUCGGCUUAUGGAUGGACCCGCGGCGUAUUAGUUAGUUGGUGAGGUAAUGGCUCACCAAGACGAUGAUACGUAGCCGACCUGAGAGGGUGAUCGGCCACAUUGGGACUGAGACACGGCCCAAACUCCUACGGGAGGCAGCAGUAGGGAAUCUUCCGCAAUGGACGAAAGUCUGACGGAGCAACGCCGCGUGAGUGAAGAAAGGGUUUUCGGAUCGGUAAAACUCUGUUGUCAGAGAAGAACAAGUCGGAGAGUAACUGCUCCGGCCUUGACGGUAUCUGACCAGAAAGCCACGGCUAACUACGUGCCAGCCGCUGC
Molecule: ribosomal RNA, 516 nt
Filed under: uncultured bacterium
Lineage: Bacteria
Description: bacterial SSU rRNA
Rfam family: Bacterial small subunit ribosomal RNA
Source: RNAcentral